Molecule: unclassified non-coding RNA, 391 nt
Filed under: soil metagenome
Description: partial contains 5.8S ribosomal RNA, internal transcribed spacer 2, and large subunit ribosomal RNA
Rfam family: 5.8S ribosomal RNA (bases 1-122)
Source: RNAcentral
GAUGAAGAACGUAGCGAAAUGCGAUACUUGGUGUGAAUUGCAGAAUCCCGUGAACCAUCGAGUCUUUGAACGCAAGUUGCGCCCGAAGCCAUUAGGCCGAGGGCACGCCUGCCUGGGCGUCACACGUCGUUGCCCCCCCAUCUACUCCUUCGGGAUUGCGGGGGGCGGAUGAUGGCCUCCCGUGCGCCACGCCGCGCGGUUGGCAUAAAUGCCAAGUCCUCGGCGACGCACGCCACGACAAUCGGUGGUUGCGAAACCUCGGUUGCCCGUCGUGUGCGGUCGUCGCGCAUCGAGGGCUCGAAAAAAUUGCCGGGUUCCGGCUCGGCUUUCAACGCGACCCCAGGUCAGGCGGGGUUACCCGCUGAAUUUAAGCAUAUCAAUAAGCGGAGGA